UGAGGAUGCUCAGGUGGAUGUGCGGGCUCACCAGGUUAGAUAAGAUUAAGAAUGAAGUUAUUUGAGAGAAGGUGGAGGUGGCCCCGGUUGAUGAGAAGAUGCGAGAAGCGAGGCUGAGGUGGUUCGGGCAUGUACGGAGGAGAAGUCAUGAUGCCCCGGUGAGGAGUUGUGAGCGGCUAGCGGUGGUCGGCGCACGGCGA
Molecule: long non-coding RNA, 200 nt
Filed under: Nicotiana benthamiana
Lineage: Eukaryota; Viridiplantae; Streptophyta; Magnoliopsida; Solanales; Solanaceae
Description: long non-coding RNA (NBEN_LNC026844)
Source: RNAcentral